RNAcentral lists this ribosomal RNA (1772 nucleotides) under metagenome. Its description in RNAcentral is "SSU rRNA". It matches the Rfam family "Eukaryotic small subunit ribosomal RNA". The record is from RNAcentral.
CCUGGUUGAUCCUGCCAGUGGUCAUAUGCUUGUCUCAAAGAUUAAGCCAUGCAUGUUUAAGCAGAAGCCGCACAACGGUAAAGCCGCGAAUGGCUCAUUACAACAGCCGUCGUUUCUUGGAUCUCUAAAUUUACUUGGAUAACUGUGGUAAUUCUAGAGCUAAUACACGCACUAAAGCUCUGACCUUACGGGACGAGCGCAUUUAUUAGAACAAAACCAAUCGGGUUUCGGCCCGUUCGUUGGUGACUCUGAAUAACUCUGCCGAUCGCACGGUCUCGCACCGGCGACGUAUCUUUCAAGUGUCUGCCUUAUCAACUUUCGAUGGUAGUUUAUGUGCCUACCAUGGUUGUAACGGGUAACGGAGAAUAAGGGCUCGACUCCGGAGAGGGAGCCUGAGAAACGGCUACCACAUCCAAGGAAGGCAGCAGGCGCGCAAAUUACCCACUCUCGGCACGAGGAGGUAGUGACGAAAAAUAACGAGACGGAUCUCUUUGAGGCCCGUUAUCGGAAUGAGAACAAUUCAAAUCCUUUAACGAGGAUCUAGCGGAGGGCAAGUCUGGUGCCAGCAGCCGCGGUAAUUCCAGCUCCGCAGGUGUAUAUCUAUGCUGCUGCGGUUAAAAGGCUCGUAGUUGGAACUGCGUGCUCGGAACUGGUUGGCUCACUGAGCUCAUACUGGUCUCCGGCGCUUUAUUGGCUGGUUUUCCCUUGAUGCUCUUAACCGGGUGUCUUGGGUGGCUAGCACGUUUACUUUGAAAAAAUUAGAGUGCUCAAUACAGGCGCAAAGCCUUGAAUAGUGGUGCAUGGAAUAAUAGAAUAGGACCUCGGCUCUAUUUUGUUGGUUUUCGGAACGCGAGGUAAUGAUUAAGAGGGACAGACGGGGGCAUUCGUAUUGCGACGUUAGAGGUGAAAUUCUUGGAUCGUCGCAAGACGGACGACUGCGAAAGCAUUUGCCAAGAAUGUUUUCAUUAAUCAAGAACGAAAGUUAGAGGUUCGAAGGCGAUCAGAUACCGCCCUAGUUCCAACCGUAAACGAUGCCAACUAGCGAUUCGCAGGCGUUAAACAACGACCUUGCGGGCAGCUUCCCGGAAACGAAAGUGUUCGGGUUCCGGGGGAAGUAUGGUUGCAAAGCUGAAACUUAAAGGAAUUGACGGAAGGGCACCACCAGGAGUGGAGCCUGCGGCUUAAUUUGACCCAACACGGGAAAACUCACCCGGCCCGGACACCGUAAGGAUUGACAGAUUGAGAGCUCUUUCUUGAUUCGGUGGGUGGUGGUGCAUGGCCGUUCUUAGUUGGUGGAGCGAUUUGUCUGGUUUAUUCCGAUAACGAACGAGACUCUGGCCUACUAAAUAGUGGGCGGAUUCUUUCUGUCCGCAACACUUCUUAGAGGGACAAGCGGUGUUCAGCCGCACGAGAUUGAGCAAUAACAGGUCUGUGAUGCCCUUAGAUGUCCGGGGCUGCACGCGCGCUACACUGAAGGAAUCAGCGUGCUUUCUGACCUUGCCCGAAAGGGCUGGGUAACCCGAUGAAAAUCCUUCGUGAUUGGGAUAGGGACUUGCAAUUAUUUCCCUUGAACGAGGAAUUCCCAGUAAGUGUGGGUCAUAAGCUCGCGUUGAUUACGUCCCUGCCCUUUGUACACACCGCCCGUCGCUGCCCGGGACUGAGCCGUUUCGAGAAGAACAGGGACCGUCGUUGAAGGGCCCUAACGGGCUUUUCUCUGAUAGAAACUGUUUUAAUCGCAGUGGCUUGAACCGGGCAAAAGUCGUAACAAGGUU